GAUGAACGCUGGCGGCGUGCCUAAUACAUGCAAGUCGAGCGAACGGACGAGAAGCUUGCUUCUCUGAUGUUAGCGGCGGACGGGUGAGUAACACGUGGAUAACCUACCUAUAAGACUGGGAUAACUUCGGGAAACCGUAGCUAAUACCGGAUAAUAUUUUGAACCGCAUGGUUCAAAAGUGAAAGACGGUCUUGCUGUCACUUAUAGAUGGAUCCGCGCUGCAUUAGCUAGUUGGUAAGGUAACGGCUUACCAAGGCAACGAUGCAUAGCCGACCUGAGAGGGGGAGCGGCCACACGGAAAGGACGCAACGGUCCAGACGCCUGCGGGGGGCAGCAGUGGGGAAUCUUCGACAAGGGGCGAAAGCCUGAAAGACAAAGGCCGAGGGAAUGAUGAAGGUUUUCGGUGCGUAAAAAUCUGUUAUUAGGGAAGAAAAAAUUAGCAAGAAACUGUGCCCUUCUUGAAGGUACCUAAUCAGAAAGCCACGGCUAACCACGUG
This 497-nucleotide ribosomal RNA is filed under the name uncultured bacterium. RNAcentral's name for it is "partial 16S ribosomal RNA". It matches the Rfam family "Bacterial small subunit ribosomal RNA", at positions 28 to 507 of the family's 1533-position model. The record is from RNAcentral.